GAACUGUAGAGUUUGAUCCUGGCUCAGAUUGAACGCUGGCGGAAUGCUUUACACAUGCAAGUCGAGCGGCAGCGCGGGGCAACCUGGCGGCGAGCGGCGAACGGGUGAGUAAUACAUCGGAACGUGCCCAGACGUGGGGGAUAGCCCGGCGAAAGCCGGAUUAAUACCGCAUGUGAUCUGAGGAUGAAAGCGGGGGAUCGCAAGACCUCGCGCGUUUGGAGCGGCCGAUGGCAGAUUAGGUAGUUGGUGGGGUAAAGGCUUACCAAGCCUGCGAUCUGUAGCUGGUCUGAGAGGAUGAUCAGCCACACUGGGACUGAGACACGGCCCAGACUCCUACGGGAGGCAGCAGUGGGGAAUUUUGGACAAUGGGCGCAAGCCUGAUCCAGCCAUUCCGCGUGCAGGACGAAGGCCCUCGGGUUGUAAACUGCUUUUGUACAGAACGAAAAGGCUCUGGCUAAUACCUGGGGCUCAUGACGGUACUGUAAGAAUAAGCACCGGCUAACUACGUGCCAGCAGCCGCGGUAAUACGUAGGGUGCAAGCGUUAAUCGGAAUUACUGGGCGUAAAGCGUGCGCAGGCGGUUUUGUAAGACAG
RNAcentral lists this ribosomal RNA (593 nucleotides) under Pseudomonadota bacterium. RNAcentral describes it as "bacterial SSU rRNA". It matches the Rfam family "Bacterial small subunit ribosomal RNA", at positions 1 to 591 of the family's 1533-position model. Lineage: Bacteria; Pseudomonadati; Pseudomonadota. The record is from RNAcentral.